AGAAUAUCAGACAGCCUAAUUCAAAGUCUUCAUAAUAAAACCGCAAAUCUAGUCCAAGGGUUUUUUUGGUCCCUAGCUUCUCGGGUGGGUGGGCAUUCGCCCUGGUCCUUCCCCCUUGGCUCCUCCACUGGUAGCAGCUUGUGGGGCCGGCCACGGGCACAUGGUGUGAUGGCUGACUUCAUCUGGGCUGCUUCUGCGUUCCCUGUCCACUAGGUACCAGGGCGGGGUAAG
Molecule: non-coding RNA, 231 nt
Organism: Pelobates cultripes (western spadefoot toad)
Lineage: Eukaryota; Metazoa; Chordata; Amphibia; Anura; Pelobatidae
Source: the annotation of a GenBank genome assembly